UUGGAUUUGCCAUAUAGGAAAGAUGUUGUGGGUCUUAAUUUGAUAUUGGUUACUGUAUUGAUAUUUGUCACGGAUCUCUUGAAUACUUUGUAAUAAUUUAUAUCUUUAUGCCCUAGACAAUAUGAUUCUGGAAUUAGUUUGGAAUUUUGAUGUGUGUAUGGAUUUCUUCUUCUGAACUAGUCUGCCAAUACUCUGUUAAUUCUAGAUAGUGAAUACGUGGGUUCGAAAUUCAGCAACUGAUCACUGCUAUCCGAUUUCGUAACCUAUGUCUUCAUGGCAGAGUACGCAGACGUCUAUUCGUCAUCACAUCCUUGUGUAAUUAGUCUAAUUAUUCCAGUUACAUGUUUACCAUUUGAUAGGGAAGUAUUUAGUUUAUAUUAUGUCUCGUACUUCAUAGUAUGUUUUGUUGUUGACUAUCCCUAUACAUAGUAGUUCGUUAAUUUGGUGUUUGGGGUGUUUAGACAAAUGAUUAAUUUUUUUUAGUAUUUUCCCACUUCUUUCCUUAGGCAUCAGUUGUUGUUUAGAUUCAGGAAUAUUUCCUGGAUAAUUCUAUGUAUGCGAGAACCCAUGAAUCUACAGUUUUAUUUAAAAUUGGUUGCACGUUCUCAACAUAUUUUUUUUUUCUUUCUAUCAUGUAUCAUGGUGUCAUAGAACUUGUAAGUUCUCUAUUUAGAUUUUAUUAUUACAAUUGGUUCUUUACCUAUGUUUGGUUAUUCUAAUACCCCUGUUGUAGCAAGAUGCUAUAAUUAGUGUGAAUACCAGCAUGAACCAAUUUUAGUUCAUUUAGUAUUAGUGAGAAUUGGUCCAAAAAUCUUUCUGAUCGUUUUUCUUUGGAUAUGCUCUUAUAAAUCUGGUGUCCAUUGAUAGUCCGAUUUUGGAUUAAGUGUCCGAUUCUUCACUUAUUUUGUUUAUUCGGUUGGAUAGGUUCGUGUUACCGGAUGUGGGUGUACGUAGACCUAAUUUAUUUCUAUGAUUUAGUAUUGGUGUGAAUUGGUCAAUAAAUCUUCCUGGUCGUUCUUUUUUGGAUAUGCUUUUAUGAAUCUGGUGUCCACUGAUAGUCCGACUUUGGAUGUCUUUGAGUGUCCGGUUCCACAUUUAUUUUGGUUAAUGAGUUUGGAUACCUUUGGUAUGUUUAUUAUUUGUAUUAUUUGAUAUUGGUGAGAAUCGUUCCAUAAAUCUUCCUGAUUGUCCUUCUAUGGAUAUGCUAGUACGAAUCUGGUGUCCAUUGUUAGUUCAGUUUUGGAUUAAGUGUUCGAUUCUUCACUUAUUUUAGUUAUUGAUUUCUUUGGUCUUACUUUAGUAUAUUUACUUGCGUUAUUGUACGAAUAGGCUCACACCUUUGCCUGGUUGUUCGUCCUUGGAUAUACACUUUAUAAAGCUGAUGUCCCUGGAUAGUUCAAUUUUGGAUUUAGGGCCCAUUCGACAUUUAUUUGUCAUUAUGAACUUUAGUAAAUUAUUUAGUUUAUCUUUGGCUUUUAGACAAAAUGCCGAGGAUAUCUUAAUAUCACUUCGAGUCAUCUGUUGCGGUUCAUGAUAUCUGCUGCAGUGACCAUCCUGCUUUCUCCUGAGGCAUGGUUUGUAGUUAUUUGUAAUCUUGCGAAUCGACGAGAAAUAAUACACUACUACUACUUUAGUUUAAUAUUUAGAGAUAUAAAAAAAAAUUUUUGAUUAAAUUUUUUUUUCUCCCAGUAGGAGGAGAAUGUAACGUUCCGUCACUUAUCUAAUUAAUUAUUAAUGGGAACAACUUAUUGGAUUAUUGUUAAAAUUAUUUUCUUAUAAUAUUAAAAACCCGUUCGCACAAAAUUCCCUUAGCGACGUCAUACUGGGUGUAUCGUGGCCACAUUGAUAUUUCGUGAGGUUGGUACUGACGCCUGUCGCCAGCUGUCACGAGGUCGGAACGGUGAAGGGAGGCCAUUGACUUGGGAGUGUCAUGUGAGGGCAGAUGGCGGCGUGAAUUUCUUUGUAAAUUAAAUAAGUUAUUUCCUGUUGCAUAGUUCAAUUAUUGCUAUUGCAAGUUAUAUUUGUUUUUUUUGGGUGAAUUAAAGUGACGGAAUAAUGGAACUGUAAGAAAACGGAUCUCACGCCGCCAUUCUGGAGAAAUCUCAUUACUGAUGGUAAACCCUCUCUAACACCGAGAGCAGACACUUCCAACGUUCGAUCAAUCAGGGAACAAGCCAAAGGAUACCGUCUCCCAUUUGUUUUUGUAUUGAUUCAUCAUCCUACACCCUCCGAGGGUAGUUUCAUUAGCUAUUGGGCAGUUGCACCACUUCGGUGAUAACUUCGUUCCACGGAUUUGGUACCAGACACCAAGGAUCGUUGUUGGAACAUGUGAAAAGGGGUUUGUUUUGGGAGACAUUUGUUCAUACCAGUUAAAGACAUAUUUUUUUUUUCUAGUAAUAUUCAGGACAUUUCAUACUUUCAUAAUUUAAUUACACAUAUAUGUUUUUCUUUCUCCACAAAUUUAAGUACAUUUUAGAUAUAACAGCCAUACCUUACAGUUAGUAGUGUUCCCCAAAUUUAUAUAAUUCCUGGUAGAAGUUUUGAGCUCGAAUAUUCUCCACCUACAUGUUCUUUUCACUUGGUUUGUAUUAAUUUUAGACUUGUUUCCUCAUUUAAUUUAAAAAUAAUAUUAGUUCAAUUCACCUAAAUUUAAAAUCAUUUAACUUGCUUCAUAAUUUUCAAUUUUUAUUAGAUUUUUUGGUAAAUAUUAUUUAACUUUCGCUAUUAAACUUUUUAUAUUAAAUUCGAAUAAAUCCCUAGUACCCAUCCCCUCAGGAAGGUACUAGUUUUACUUGCUGUUAGUAUUUAGAACCACUAGUCAGAAAAGGAUCUUUGUAUCCAGUACUAAGUUGGUUCAUUUAGGGACUUGUUACCCGUCAUCUCAUUGAGAGUUGUAUAAUAUAUAUUAUAUACAUUAGGUAUUUUCAUUGUUCUAAUAUCAGGUAGUAUUCAAUUAGGGUGUACGUAUUACAAUCGUACAAGUGUUAUUUGGUGAAGGGUUCAUACUAAUCUAGGUGUAGUUUGUACUUCCUAUAUUAGAGGUACUCAUUUGUAAAAUUUUCUAACCUCAUUCACAUUAUGGUUACAUUAUUUAAUUGUAUAAAUCUGUAAAUGACUUUCACUAGUAUCUACCAUUUCUUGUCAUUUUAGAGUCACAUACUAGUCACUUGUUUUAACUCAGAGAUUGUGAAUAUCUAGUAGUUAUAUUUAAUAAAUAUAUACAUUUAUUGUGAA
Molecule: long non-coding RNA, 3234 nt
Filed under: Diabrotica virgifera virgifera (western corn rootworm)
Lineage: Eukaryota; Metazoa; Arthropoda; Insecta; Coleoptera; Chrysomelidae
Description: uncharacterized LOC126884008
Source: RNAcentral